AUUGAACGCUGGCGGCAUGCUUUACACAUGCAAGUCGAACGGUAACAGGUUAAGCUGACGAGUGGCGAACGGGUGAGUAAUGCAUCGGAACGUGCCCGAUCGUGGGGGAUAACGCAGCGAAAGCUGCGCUAAUACCGCAUACGAUCUGAGGAUGAAAGCGGGGGACCGUAAGGCCUCGCGCGAUCGGAGCGGCCGAUGUCAGAUUAGGUAGUUGGUGGGGUAAAGGCUCACCAAGCCAACGAUCUGUAGCUGGUCUGAGAGGACGACCAGCCAUACUGGGACUGGAACACGGCCCAGACUCCUACGGGAGGCAGCAGUGGGGAAUUUUGGACAAUGGGCGAAAGCCUGAUCCAGCAAUGCCGCGUGCAGGAAGAAGGCCUUCGGGUUGUAAACUGCUUUUGUACGGAGCGAAAAGGCCCUCUCUAAUACAGUGGGCUCAUGACGGUACCGUAAGAAUAAGCACCGGCUAACUACGUGCCAGCCGCCGCCGUAA
This 493-nucleotide ribosomal RNA is filed under the name uncultured bacterium. RNAcentral's name for it is "partial 16S ribosomal RNA". It matches the Rfam family "Bacterial small subunit ribosomal RNA", at positions 30 to 523 of the family's 1533-position model. The record is from RNAcentral.